UGAAACAUCUAAGUACCCCGAGGAAAAGAAAUCAACCGAGAUUCCCCCAGUAGCGGCGAGCGAACGGGGAGGAGCCCAGAGCCUGAAUCAGCAUGUGUGUUAGUGGAAGCGUCUGGAAAGGCGCGCGAUACAGGGUGACAGCCCCGUACACAAAAGCGCAUGUGCUGUGAGCUCGAUGAGUAGGGCGGGACACGUGGUAUCCUGUCUGAAUAUGGGGGGACCAUCCUCCAAGGCUAAAUACUCCUGACUGACCGAUAGUGAACCAGUACCGUGAGGGAAAGGCGAAAAGAACCCCGGCGAGGGGAGUGAAAAAGAACCUGAAACCGUGUACGUACAAGCAGUGGGAGCACAGGUUUACCUGUGUGACUGCGUACCUUUUGUAUAAUGGGUCAGCGACUUAUAUUCUGUAGCAAGGUUAACCGAAUAGGGGAGCCGGAGGGAAACCGAGUCUUAAUUGGGCGUUAAGUUGCAGGGUAUAGACCCGAAACCCGGUGAUCUAGCCAUGGGCAGGUUGAAGGUUGGGUAACACUAACUGGAGGACCGAACCGACUAAUGUUGAAAAAUUAGCGGAUGACCUGUGGCUGGGGGUGAAAGGCCAAUCAAACCGGGAGAUAGCUGGUUCUCCCCGAAAGCUAUUUAGGUAGCGCCUCGUGAA
This 655-nucleotide ribosomal RNA is filed under the name Salmonella enterica subsp. enterica serovar Muenster. Its description in RNAcentral is "bacterial LSU rRNA". It matches the Rfam family "Bacterial large subunit ribosomal RNA", at positions 194 to 888 of the family's 2925-position model. The record is from RNAcentral. Lineage: Bacteria; Pseudomonadati; Pseudomonadota; Gammaproteobacteria; Enterobacterales; Enterobacteriaceae.